UUUUUUUUUUUUUUUUUUUUUUUUUUUUUUUGUUUUCCAAC
RNAcentral lists this non-coding RNA (41 nucleotides) under Prorocentrum micans. Lineage: Eukaryota; Dinophyceae; Prorocentrales; Prorocentraceae. The record is from RNAcentral.